AGAGAGAGACAUGCGCGCAUAUCAAUAAGCGGAGGAAAAGAAACUAACAAGGAUUCCCCUAGUAACGGCGAGUGAAGCGGGAAGAGCUCAAAUUUGAAAUCUUAAAGGGUUUCCCUUUACGAAUUGUAGUUUAAAGAAGUGUUUUCUGUUGAGGUUUUGGUAAAAGUUCUUUGGAAUAGGACAUCAUAGAGGGUGAGAAUCCCGUAUUUGACCAUUACUUUCCAACUUUGUGAUACACUUUCAAAGAGUCGGAUUGUUUGGGAAUGCAGUCCAAAAUGGGUGGUAAAUUUCAUCUAAAGCUAAAUAUUGGCGAGAGACCGAUAGCGAACAAGUACCGUGAGGGAAAGAUGAAAAGAACUUUGAAAAGAGAGUUAAACAGUACGUGAAAUUGUCAAAAGGGAAGCGUUUGACACCAGUGUUGUUUUUCUGAAAAUCAAUUAAAGAACUGUUUAUGCUAAGUUGUUUAGACUUUAUCAGCUAACUGUUUAGUUUUGAGCUUUUCUUUAAUGCACUUUUCAGUUAACAAGUCAACAUCAAUUUCUUUUGCUGUAAAAAAGCUUGAGGAAGGUGGCUUGAGAUUCGUCUUAAGUGUUUAUAGCCUCUUGCCUAUGCAGUCGGAGAGAUUGAGGUCUGCAGCGUAGAUCCUUCGGGGCUAAAUGCAUUUGUGCUAAGUUAUAGCAUUUUAUAGACAACUUGUUGACUAUGAUUUGUCUUGUAGCUUACUCGCUUAUGUUAUUUUACCUACGCUUAGGAUGUUGAGCGCAUGUCUCUCUC
This 774-nucleotide ribosomal RNA is filed under the name uncultured Neocallimastigales. RNAcentral describes it as "partial large subunit ribosomal RNA". It matches the Rfam family "Eukaryotic large subunit ribosomal RNA", at positions 23 to 617 of the family's 3401-position model. Lineage: Eukaryota; Fungi; Neocallimastigomycota; Neocallimastigomycetes; Neocallimastigales. The record is from RNAcentral.